UACGUAGGGUGCAAGCGUUGUCCGGAAUUAUUGGGCGUAAAGAGCUCGUAGGCGGUUUGUCGCGUCUGCUGUGAAAUCCCGAGGCUCAACCUCGGGUCUGCAGUGGGUACGGGCAGACUAGAGUGUGGUAGGGGAGAUUGGAAUUCCUGGUGUAGCGGUGGAAUGCGCAGAUAUCAGGAGGAACACCGAUGGCGAAGGCAGAUCUCUGGGCCAUUACUGACGCUGAGGAGCGAAAGCGUGGGGAGCAAACAGG
Molecule: ribosomal RNA, 253 nt
Filed under: uncultured bacterium
Lineage: Bacteria
Description: partial 16S ribosomal RNA
Rfam family: Bacterial small subunit ribosomal RNA
Source: RNAcentral